Molecule: long non-coding RNA, 307 nt
Filed under: Lactuca sativa (garden lettuce)
Lineage: Eukaryota; Viridiplantae; Streptophyta; Magnoliopsida; Asterales; Asteraceae
Description: long non-coding RNA (LSAT_LNC008346)
Source: RNAcentral
GUAAGGGGUUUCACGAUAAUUAGGGCUUUGCAAGGGGUGUUCGUCUCGCUUUGGUGAUGAUGGUGAUUUCUUUGAAAUAGGAGAUUCAUGGCCAGGGCUAAGGUUUUCCGGUGGAUAUUCAGGUUCUGUGGGUAGCGGUGGAGGUGGAGGUGGCGGUGGUGGUGACGGUUGUAAGAAGGAGGAAGGCGACGGUGGUGGCGAAGGCUGCUGAAGGCCGAGCAUUUUGUCUUGCGGCGGAGGUGAAGUCGGAACCGGUUCCUGUUCAUCUGCGACGUCUUCAGGUGGUGGAUGUUCGCGGUCGAUAGGC